UUCUGUGUGCGCUCAAAGGCUGUCUCCUCCCUCCCUUCUCUGGUGAAGCACCUUUUGAUUUCAACAGUUUCAUAGUGAGAGGCUUUGGCUCCUGCCCCUGCAGUCUGUUGGAUAAUACGGUGCUGCCUUUCUGGCAGUGGUGAGGACCUCAGAGGCUUUGACACCAGUUUGUACUUACAGUACAAGGAGGCAAACCUAUGUUUCUCUGUACUUUUUAAAUAUUGCAUUUUGAGGCCCAAACAAAAGAUACAGUCUGGAACAAUGGCCUGAAAUGAGGAACACAACCAAAGCAGCCGUGCAGGAAGCCUGCCGUUUCCCAUAGUUUGGGGACCUGGAGCCCUGAGCAGAUGCGUGGAAGUGGAAAAUGCCUCAAAUGACAGAAGCUGUAACAAAACAGUUUUGGCAGCUUCUGGAACUUCUCUGCCUGCUGGACCCCAGAAAAUCUGAUGCUAGAUACUGGUGAUGUCAGCUGAAGUUAGUAUGCUGAGCGGAGUGGGUAAAAGUUGGGCUCCUUGAUAAACUGUGUUUAAAUAAAACUGAGUGGUUUAUUGCUUUUAAUACCAUUUAUCUUAUGAAUGCUACUGGAAUAUAGGAAGAACUGAUGGAGUCAUUCCUAAGUGGAGUUGUUCCU
This is a long non-coding RNA of Corvus hawaiiensis (hawaiian crow), 631 nucleotides long. RefSeq lists it as uncharacterized. The record is from RefSeq and is a predicted model, not a curated record. Lineage: Eukaryota; Metazoa; Chordata; Aves; Passeriformes; Corvidae. The transcript has 3 exons.